CCUAAGGUAGCGAAAUUCCUUGUCAGGUAAGUUCUGACCCGCACGAAUGGCGUAAUGAUUUGGGCACUGUCUCGACAGCCCGCCCGGCGAAAUUGUAGUACUGGUGAAGAUGCCAGUUACCCGCAACUAGACGGAAAGACCCCAUGGAGCUUUACUGCAGCUUAAUACUGGAAAUCGGUAAUUCAUGUACAGGAUAGGUGGGAGACGGAGAAGCACGGUCGUCAGGUCAUGUGGAGUCGCCCUUGGGAUACCACUCUUGGAUUGCUGGUUUUCUAACCUGCGGCCGUGAAUCCGGUCGGGGGACACUGUUAGGCGGGCAGUUUGACUGGGGCGGUCGCCUCCAAAAGAGUAACGGAGGCGCUCAAAGGUUCGUUCAGCACGGACGGAAAUCGUGCAUUGAGUGUAAACGCAUAAACGAGCCUAACUGCGAGACCGACGGGUCGAGCAGUAACGAAAGUUGGAGUUAGUGAUCCGGUGGUAUGUGAGUGGAAAUGCCAUCGCUCAACGGAUAAAAGCUACCCUGGGGAUAACAGGCUGAUCUCCCCCAAGAGUCCACAUCGACGGGGAGGUUUGGCACCUCGAUGUCGGCUCAUCGCAUCCUGGGGCUGUAUUCGGUCCCAAGGGUUUGGCUGUUCGCCAAUUAAAGCGGCACGCGAGCUGGGUUCAGAACGUCGUGAGACAGUUCGGUCCCUAUCUGUUGCGGGCGUAAGAGAUUUGAAGGGAGCUGUCCUUAGUACGAGAGGACCGGGAUGGACGUACCUCUGGUGCACCAGUUGUCCUGCCAAGGGCAUAGCUGGGUAGCUAUGUACGGACGAGAUAAACGCUGAAAGCAUCUAAGCGUGAAACUCCCCCUAAGAUGAGAUCUCUCAUCCUUUAUGGAGUAAGGGCCCAGAAAGACGAUCUGGUUGAUAGGCCGGAGGUGGAAGUGCAGUAAUGUAUGCAGCUGACCGGUACUAAUAGCCCGAGGGCUUGACCUA
Molecule: ribosomal RNA, 977 nt
Filed under: human gut metagenome
Description: bacterial LSU rRNA
Rfam family: Bacterial large subunit ribosomal RNA
Source: RNAcentral